Molecule: ribosomal RNA, 459 nt
Filed under: uncultured bacterium
Lineage: Bacteria
Description: partial 16S ribosomal RNA
Rfam family: Bacterial small subunit ribosomal RNA
Source: RNAcentral
GAUGAACGCUGGCGGCGUGCCUAAUACAUGCAAGUCGAGCGGUAAGGCCCCUUCGGGGGUACACGAGCGGCGGACGGCUGAGUAACACGUAGGUACGUACCCCAAAGUGAGGGAUUAGCACCAGAAAUGGUGUCUAAUACCGCAUGUGCUCUAAGGAGUAAAGCUUCGGCGCUUUGGGAACGGCCUGCGCAUGAUUAGCUUGGUGGUGAGGUAAUGGCUCACCAAGGCGACGAUCAUUAGCUGGUUUGAGAGAACGACCAGCCACACUGGGACUGAGACACGGCCCAGACUCCUACGGGAGGCAGCAGUGGGGAAUAUUGGACAAUGGGGGAAACCCUGAUCCAGCAAUGCCGCGUGGGUGAUGAAGGCCUUCGGGUUGUAAAGCCCUUUUGGCGGGGACGAUGACGACGGUACCCGCAGAAGAAGCCCCGGCUAACUUCGUGCCAGCAGCCGCCGCCG